Molecule: ribosomal RNA, 587 nt
Filed under: Heterotextus cf. miltinus
Lineage: Eukaryota; Fungi; Basidiomycota; Dacrymycetes; Dacrymycetales; Dacrymycetaceae
Description: partial small subunit ribosomal RNA
Rfam family: Bacterial small subunit ribosomal RNA
Source: RNAcentral
GAUGGAGCUAACUAGAAUUCAUUAACAUAUAACAUGUUAAGAACGUCGUAGUAAUGAGAUAAUGACAAAAUACUACCAGUAGUACAGACAAAUCGCCGUGCCAGCAGUUGCGGUAAAACGGCUUGUACAAACGUUAAUCCUCAUUAAUAGGCAUAAAGGGUUCGUAGGCAGCUUCCUACCAAAAUAGAGUUAAAUCGAAUUUAAUUCAAAAAUCUAACUAAAAAAGUUAGGGGAAUUAAAUUCGAUUUUAAUUUGAACAUAAUUGGGGGAUAUGAAUCAAAUAGAGGGUAAUAUAACCCUGUAAAUAGGGCCUAUAUCCGUAGACAUAUGGGAGAAUGCUAAAUGCGAAGGCAAUUACCUGGCUUUGAUUGACGCUGAGGAACUAAGGUUUGGGAAGGUAACAGGAUUUGAUACCCAGGUACUCCUUACACUCAACGAUGAAUGUUAGAUGUUAGUUAAAUUUAGCGUCGAUGUGAAAAAUACGUUAAACAUUCCGCCUUGUCAGUAUACUUGCAAAGGUGAAAACAAAAAAAUUAGUCGGUUUCGAAGCAAACGAAGAGAAGCAUGUUGUUUAAUACGAUUCCCCG